UAAUAUAAAAUUCCUAAUGUUGACAAUGUUGUCAUUUAUUAAAGAAACCAAUAUUAACGAAGACUAUAGAGACUAGAGAAUAGAAAUGUCUUGCUGUAUGCAUAGUACCUUGGGCUGCUGUAAGGAUCGUGGUCAAACAUAAUUCGUGGAUAGGAUUGCGAAUUGUAAUACAUGAAAUUCAAAUCAAGCCGCUCAAAAUUGCAACACAUUAUUUUGUGUGUAUAACUAUUAUGUAUAGGUACCUAAUAGACAUUUUUGAAAUUCUUCUCGGAGGUGUGUAUUUCAUGUUGUAAAUUGGAUUAAUGUACUGGUAUCAUAUUAUUAUAUCUGCUGAAAAGAAACACUUUCAAAAACCACUCAACACAUUAAAACCCGUCCGUGAUGGAACGAAACUCAAUGACAUUUAACUGUUUGUUAAAUGUGUUGGAUAUACUGAUGAAUUUGUUGAAAAAAAUUCAUUCAUUAGUUUAUGAACAACAUUUAUAGAAUUGUAUAAAUGUAGAAAAAUAUCUGAUGACAAUAAUCCAGCAGUGAAUAUGAGCGAACACAUUAUUAUCAUUCAUAAUUUCUCUUAACUGUUUGGUUUAUAUGUGAUAUUGUUUUAUAAAGUUGAUUGCAAAUACCUAUGUUGAAUAUUUUAUUUAUUAUAUCAAAACAAUUUGUAUUUGCACAAUACUAAUCAAAAACA
This is a long non-coding RNA of Acyrthosiphon pisum (pea aphid), 688 nucleotides long. RefSeq lists it as uncharacterized. NCBI's taxonomy places the organism in Eukaryota, Metazoa, Arthropoda, Insecta, Hemiptera, Aphididae. The transcript is spliced from 4 exons. The record is from RefSeq and is a predicted model, not a curated record.